Molecule: ribosomal RNA, 253 nt
Filed under: uncultured bacterium
Lineage: Bacteria
Description: partial 16S ribosomal RNA
Rfam family: Bacterial small subunit ribosomal RNA
Source: RNAcentral
UACGUAGGGUGCGAGCGUUGUCCGGCAUUAUUGGGCGUAAAGAGCUUGUAGGCGGUCUGUCGCGUCUGCUGUGAAAAUCCGGGGCUCAACCCCGGACUUGCAGUGGGUACGGGCAGACUAGAGUGUGGUAGGGGAGACUGGAAUUCCUGGUGUAGCGGUGAAAUGCGCAGAUAUCAGGAGGAACACCGAUGGCGAAGGCAGGUCUCUGGGCCACUACUGACGCUGAGAAGCGAAAGCAUGGGGAGCGAACAGG